RNAcentral lists this ribosomal RNA (459 nucleotides) under uncultured bacterium. RNAcentral's name for it is "partial 16S ribosomal RNA". It matches the Rfam family "Bacterial small subunit ribosomal RNA", at positions 338 to 795 of the family's 1533-position model. The record is from RNAcentral.
CCUACGGGAGGCAGCAGUGAGGAAUAUUGGUCAAUGGACGAGAUUCUGAACCAGCCAAGUCGCGUGAAGGAUGACUGCCCUAUGGGUUGUAAACUUCUUUUGUAUGGGAAUAAAACCCGGUAUGCAUACCCUCUUGUGUGUACCAUAUGAAUAAGGAUCGGCUAACUCCGUGCCAGCAGCCGCGGUAAUACGGAGGAUGCGAGCGUUAUCCGGAUUUAUUGGGUUUAAAGGGUGCGCAGGCGGUAGAUCAAGUCAGCGGUAAAAUGGCGGGGCUCAACCCCGUCCGGCCGUUGAAACUGGUUGUCUAGAGUUGGCGAGAAGUACGCGGAAUGCGCGGUGUAGCGGUGAAAUGCAUAGAUAUCACGAAGAACUCCGAUUGCGAAGGCAGCAUACCGGCGCCAGACUGACGCUGAGGCACGAAAGCGUGGGGAUCGAACAGGAUUAGAUACCCUAGUAGUC